UNGUAGGUGGCUUGUUGCGUCGUCUGUGAAAUUCCGGGGCUUAACUUCGGGGCGGCAGGCGAUACGGGCAUAACUAGAGUGCUGUAGGGGAGACUGGAAUUCCUGGUGUAGCGGUGGAAUGCGCAGAUAUCAGGAGGAACACCGAUGGCGAAGGCAGGUCUCUGGGCAGUAACUGACGCUGAGGAGCGAAAGCAUGGGGAGCGAACAGGAUUAGAUACCCUGGUAGUCCAUGCUGUAAACGGUGGGCGUUAGGUGUGGGGACCGGUUUGGUUUCUGUGCCGGGGCUAACGCAUUAAGCGCCCCGCCUGGGGAGUACGGCCGCAAGGCUAAAACUCAAAGGAAUUGACGGGGGCCCGCACAAGCGGCGGAGCAUGUGGAUUAAUUCGAUGCAACGCGAAGAACCUUACCUGGGUUUGACAUGCACCAGACGGUUGUAGAGAUACGUACCUCCCUUUGUGGUUGGUGUGCAGGUGGUGCAUGGUUGUCGUCAGCUCGUGUCGUGAGAUGUUGGGUUAAGUCCCGCAACGAGCGCAACCCUUGUCUUAUGUUGCCAGCACUUUGGGUGGGGACUCAUGAGAGACUGCCGGGGUUAACUCGGAGGAAGGUGGGGAUGACGUCAAAUCAUCAUGCCCUUUAUGCCCAGGGCUUCACACAUGCUACAAUGGUUAGUACAACGCGCGGCAAACCUGUGAGGGUGAGCGAAUCGCUGAAAGCUAAUCUCAGUUCGGAUUGGGGUCUGCAACUCGACCCCAUGAAGUCGGAGUCGCUAGUAAUCGCAGAUCAGCAAUGCUGCGGUGAAUACGUUCCCGGGCCUUGUGCACACCGCCCGUCACGUCAUGAAAGUUGGUAACACCUGAAGCCCAUGGCCUAACC
This 873-nucleotide ribosomal RNA is filed under the name uncultured bacterium. Its description in RNAcentral is "bacterial SSU rRNA". It matches the Rfam family "Bacterial small subunit ribosomal RNA", at positions 569 to 1440 of the family's 1533-position model. The record is from RNAcentral.